RNAcentral lists this transfer RNA (69 nucleotides) under Scorpiops jendeki. RNAcentral describes it as "tRNA-Gln". The record is from RNAcentral. Lineage: Eukaryota; Metazoa; Arthropoda; Arachnida; Scorpiones; Euscorpiidae.
UGAUUUAAAGUGUUAAUUAAGCACGUUGAAAUUUGAAUUCAAAGGUAUUAUAUUUUAUAAUUAAAUCAU